CGACCCUCUCCAAUGAAUUCAGAUUUUCAAAAAAAAAAAAUGUAUUGGGUUUGAACUGCUACCUUCAUUAGAACCAAGUAAGAUAGGAACUUAUCAGGAUAUCAUCUCAUGUAAUCUUCAAUUAAGACAAAUGUUGGAGUGGCUCUCAGCAAUAAUGGAAUUCCCUUAAAUUCAAAGCCACAUCUCUUUACACAUAUGAAGCUUUACUGACUUCAUAGUGGCUCUUGUACAUGUCACAGACACCAUAAGGCCACAGGAAAAGCCAGGCUACUCCGUCAUUCCAAAAUACUCCCUGGAUUUUACCCUAUCACGACCUUCACCUCAUCAGUGCCCGACCUUUCUCUCAUUUCUCACGUGUUUCGACUCUCAGCAUUGACGGUACCUUAGCCUUGGUAGAGAUUUAUAUUUUAUCUGCUUCAUCACUGUGGUUUGCCUUCUGUUGCCCGAAGCUCAUGGCUGGCCGCCACCCUAUGAACAUCAGCUCUCGGGGCCUCAGCCAGGACCUUGCAAUAGCUGAGAAACGACUAUUUAUUCUCCUCUACACUAGCAUUUAGUGAGGACUUUUUUAUGUGGUUGGUCCUAAGGUGAUUAAAUGGCA
Long non-coding RNA from Fukomys damarensis (Damara mole-rat), 598 nucleotides. RefSeq lists it as uncharacterized. The record is from RefSeq and is a predicted model, not a curated record. The transcript is spliced from 4 exons. Lineage: Eukaryota; Metazoa; Chordata; Mammalia; Rodentia; Bathyergidae.